AAGUAAAAGUCGUAACAAGGUUUCCGUAGGUGAACCUGCGGAAGGAUCAUUACCUAGAGUUGUAGGCUUUGCCUGCUAUCUCUUACCCAUGUCUUUUGAGUACCUUACGUUUCCUCGGUGGGUUCGCCCGCCGGUUGGACAAAACUUAAACCCUUUGUAGUUGCAAUCAGCGUCUGAAAAAACUUAAUAGUUACAACUUUCAACAACGGAUCUCUUGGUUCUGGCAUCGAUGAAGAACGCAGCGAAAUGCGAUAAGUAGUGUGAAUUGCAGAAUUCAGUGAAUCAUCGAAUCUUUGAACGCACAUUGCGCCCCUUGGUAUUCCAUGGGGCAUGCCUGUUCGAGCGUCAUUUGUACCUUCAAGCUCUGCUUGGUGUUGGGUGUUUGUCUCGCCUUUUGCGUGUAGACUCGCCUCAAAACGAUUGGCAGCCGGCGUAUUGAUUUCGGAGCGCAGUACAUCUCGCGCUUUGCACUCAUAACGACGACGUCCAAAAAGUACAUUUUUACACUCUUGACCUCGGAUCAGGUAGGGAUACCCGCUGAACUUAAG
This 548-nucleotide ribosomal RNA is filed under the name Phoma sp. F81. RNAcentral's name for it is "eukaryotic LSU rRNA". The stretch from base 195 to 348 matches the Rfam family "5.8S ribosomal RNA". The record is from RNAcentral. Lineage: Eukaryota; Fungi; Ascomycota; Dothideomycetes; Pleosporales; Didymellaceae.